GUAUCAUUUUGUAGCACUCUACCCUAUUGUUUGGUUAUGUUUUAAAUUAAAACUUGUGCUUUUAAUCUAUUUUGUAUUUGUUAUUCAGUUUAUUGAGCUCUAGGUACCACUUUAGGCAUUUGAAGCAAAAUGGUGCAAAAACGUGCAAAGACUGGAGACUAAGUUACAAAUUCGUUUCGAACUUAUCUUCUUCAUAUGAGCUUGGAUUAGGCCAAAUUACAUGUGGUUGGAAAGAAGACAUUCUGAACUCGAAGAUGGUGGGCUCAAAGUCGUUAUUUGAUUGAGAGAAACCCAAUUCGUGAGCCUAAGAAGUUAUUCAUCAUUCUGACCUAAGCAUGACAUAAUUGAUGCUUGUUCAUGAUGAGCUAUGCAUGAGAUAUUGCUUCUAGUGGGAUUUGUUGGUGAAGUGCAGCAGCCAAGAAACUGAUUUUCAAUUGCAAGUGUUGUAGGUAGAAGUCAUAUUGAAAUCAGAGGUCCUAUUUCCUUCUCCCUGUAAAUACUACUUCCAUUCCAAACACUUUCAUUAAUCACAUCCUGGGAUUCACAAUCCCUCUCUUCCAACUCCUACCAGAUCACCUAUUCCAGCACAAUUCUCACUCAAACAUUCAUUAAUCACAACCUCAUACACCUUUCCCAGCAACCACUCCAUCCUUCAUAUCCCCAUCAUUUCCCAAACACAAUCCACACAUCCACACCACUCUUCAUCUCUGGCUGCAAGUAUACAUGGUGGAAGCUGUGAGGAGCUCUUCAACAACAUAAUUUGUUCUUCUCGGGUUUUUCUUACCUUCUUCAUGUUUUUAUUAUGAUUCAAUUGUAUUUUCCAUUAAUGGGGUGUAACUAAUUACCAUAGCUAGGGUUUCAUUGUAGCCUGACAAUACAGUUUCAUGUUUUCAAGUUAAUGUUACUCCUUGUUGAUUCUAAUUUUUUGGUCUCAUUCACUUGUUUUUAGUUGAAUCUUUAUGCA
Molecule: long non-coding RNA, 964 nt
Filed under: Prunus persica (peach)
Lineage: Eukaryota; Viridiplantae; Streptophyta; Magnoliopsida; Rosales; Rosaceae
Description: long non-coding RNA (PPER_LNC007593)
Source: RNAcentral